Molecule: transfer RNA, 73 nt
Filed under: Leucobacter weissii
Lineage: Bacteria; Bacillati; Actinomycetota; Actinomycetes; Micrococcales; Microbacteriaceae
Description: tRNA-Cys
Source: RNAcentral
CGCGGUGAUCCGGGGAGGCCCGGCCACCGGCUGCAAACCGGUAGGGCAGCAGGUUCGAUCCCUGCCACCGCGU